CCUACGGGAGGCUGCAGUGGGGGAUAUUGCACAAUGGGGGGAACCCUGAUGCAGCGACGCCGCGUGGGUGAAGAAGCGCCUCGGCGCGUAAAGCCCUGUCAGCAGGGAAGAAAAUGACGGUACCUGACGAAGAAGCCCCGGCUAACUACGUGCCAGCAGCCGCGGUAAUACGUAGGGGGCAAGCGGUCUCCGGAUUUACUGGGUGUAGAGGGGGCGGAGACGGCGAUGCAAGCCAGGAGUGAAAGCCCGGGGCCCAACCCCGGGACUGCUCUUGGAGCUGCGUGGCUGGAGUGCAGGAGGGGCAGGCGGAAUUCCUGGUGUAGCGGUGAAAUGCGUAGAUAUCAGGAGGAACACCGGUGGCGAAGGCGGCCUGCUGGACUGCAACUGACGUUGAGGCCCGAAAGCGUGGGGAGCAAACAGGAUUAGAUACCCGGGUAGUC
RNAcentral lists this ribosomal RNA (440 nucleotides) under uncultured bacterium. Its description in RNAcentral is "partial 16S ribosomal RNA". It matches the Rfam family "Bacterial small subunit ribosomal RNA", at positions 338 to 795 of the family's 1533-position model. The record is from RNAcentral.